Molecule: long non-coding RNA, 205 nt
Organism: Melitaea cinxia (Glanville fritillary)
Lineage: Eukaryota; Metazoa; Arthropoda; Insecta; Lepidoptera; Nymphalidae
Exons: 2
Source: RefSeq, a predicted model, not a curated record
AGGUAAAUUUAAUAUGUCAAGAGUCUAGACUAUUAAGAUGAAAUGAUUUAGAGAAAAUCAAAUAGUUUUUAUAUUGACAUAUUUGACCAAUAAAUUUUUUUUUUUAAAGAUUAAGCUUCAUCGAUUAUACGAAAGUGAGGGGGCUGUUCGCUUUAUUUCAGUUAUGAAAUGAAAGAAGAGGGUAUUUCCAAAUAGACAAGUACGA